AAUGAUGACCCAUUCAAAGGAAGUGACCCCUUUAACCAAGAUCCCUUUGCAUCUGAUGAUCCUUUCAAAGAUGCAUUCCCAGUGGCUGAUAAUGAAGCUGCUGUAUUUCCUAAGACGGACAGUUUUGACAGUAGUGCUACCGAUCCCUUUCAAAGUACGUUCUCAAACACAAAUGAAAAACCUGAAGCAUUUGCAGCAUUCGGUGACCCAAAGCCAAAGAGUAACAAAGGCGAUCUUUUCGGAAGUGUUCCAUUUGUGAAGUCUAAUUCGAAAUCCCCAACUCCACCAAACCUUCCUCCUAAACAGAAGAAACAGCCCCCUCCUCGGCCUGCACCACCUCGCCCCAAAAGCUCUCCUGCAGCUAAGAAAAAAGAUGAACUCUUUGCAAAUUUCGGUAACGAUCCAUUUACUGGGAACGAUCCCUUUGCCAGCUCCACUGGCAACAAUCCUGAAUAUAGUCUUGAAAAUUUUGCUGACUUCAGUCCCAGCAAGAAUAUUCUUGAUUAACAAAAAAAACAACAUAAAAAAAAUAAACAAAAAUCAAAACUGGUACUGAAACCAAUUAAUUUAAAAUAAGACUUCAAACAUACUUAAACUACCGUAAGUAAGAAAGGUAGCAUGUGGACUUUGUGGGACUUUUUCGUGGUUGUUGGUGAUAUCUUCAGAUAUUUGGCUGCCUUGGUUACAUCUAUUGGGUGAGAAAAUAAUUCUUUCUAC
This is a long non-coding RNA of Octopus bimaculoides (California two-spot octopus), 717 nucleotides long. NCBI's taxonomy places the organism in Eukaryota, Metazoa, Mollusca, Cephalopoda, Octopoda, Octopodidae. The record is from RefSeq and is a predicted model, not a curated record.